AAGUUUUGAAGUUAUAUUUUUAAUUUGAAUCUGUAAAUGUUAUUCGUAGUUAGCGUCUCGAAAAUUCUAAAGAUUUCGUGUUUUAGAUUUCUUAAAUACAAGUAUCUCCAUGUCUUAUUCUCAAUCAUUAUUAUUUGGAUAUGUACGUAGUUCCAAGCGGCUGGGGCUACGCUCAACCUCGCCAUAUCUUAUGCCCAUAGGUAUGCGGUUUUUGCGGGAAAAGUGGCAAAGGAGAAUCCAAAAUUGAAGAAGGAUUUUGCGACGAUUCAGGAUGCCUUCAUGACCAUUAGCAUGUCUCUCAAAAGUGCUAAACUUGAACUCAAGGAUUCGCCGGACACCGCCAACUAUGACGUCAUGGUUUGUACCGACAGCACAAUGAUAGUGAAGAACUUGAUCGGUAAAAAUACAGACAAGGUGUCGAAGACUGUCAUGUUGAUGACACUAAAGAUGGAGAAGCUUCUUGCUAUGGCCGUUGGAGCCACCGUAGCUGUUGGCGGGUAAAGACGACGAUAAGAACACAUACCAUCGUCAGAUUUGUCAUAUUUAGUUUACUCUAUAUUUAGUUUACUUUUGAGUAUAAGGUUGUUGUUAUUUAAUUCUAGAGGAUGUGAUGUUCUGUUUUCUAUGAGGAUCAAAACAUUUCUCUUCGAUAGAACAUAUGCAUGUCUUGAAAACCCAACUACGACGUCAUGGUCUCUGGCGAUGAAAUAAGGCGUGUUAAGGGUUUGGUCGAGAAAAACACUGACCCGUCUUCAAAGACGCUCAUGAGAUGACUUUGCAGAUGGAGAAGCUUCUUGAUCUCGCUGCUGGAGCCACCGAUGCCGUUGACGACGACGAUGAGAAGUUACAUCGUCGUGCUUGAUGUUUUAACUAAGUUUGGUUUUUGGUUUACUUUUGUUAAGAAAGCAUGCAUGGAUUCAAAGGGACAUAUGAAAACUAUUUGUCUUGAAUCUUAGGAUAAUUUCAAAUUGUAAUUUGUGAUAUUAAUGUCGAAGAAAUUAUUUUUUUUAUACAUGCAACUAUGCAAGCGUAUAUACCGUAGUUGGCAGUAUUUUUAUACAUGCAAGCGUUUUCUUUUGCUUAUUCCGUAUAGGCUUUACAAUGUCUACUAGUAUUUGUGUCCUCGUUUUCAUUUCAUGGAUAUAUGUAAAGAAUUAUUUUUUUUAAGACAUAAAUUAUCUACCCAGUCAUAUAAAACAGUAUAAAACAUAAAUAACUAUACAGUUAACCUGACGUAAACAUCUCAGGUGAAAAUCUACUGGUCUCUCUAAUUCCAGUGAUUCUUGGGACGAAAGCACGAAACCACAUAGCAUGUUUUGGUUUCAGAACUAUUAAAAAAAAGCAACAACUAGUUUUUGGUAGAUAAAAUGAAUUUCUAAGAAAUAAAUUUAGAUUCAAAUUAUGCUGGAAUUUUAAGAAUGAUGGUUACUAUAAGAAAAUGGACAAGAAAUAGUUAAAAAUAGAAAAGAAAAAGGAGGAAAUUGAUGAAGUCAUGAAACUCUGGAGGGGGAAAGCACACAAAUCCGUGUGGGGAAAUAAAUAAUGUAUUCAAAGUGUAAUUUCAAAUGAUUUGUAAAAAGUUUACAAAUCAUGUGUUAUUCAAUCAUGAAUUUCAAAAAGUUUCAUGAAAUCCAGUGUCAUUUAAUUAAUCAUUUUAAAAUCUACCUUAAAAUCCACUGUUAUUGAAAAUAAUUUGUCGAUUUGAUUUUAAAUGAUUUUGGAGGAUUUCAGGGAACUUCUUUUGUUAAAAAUACAAGAAUCAAAUCUCAUAGUUUUAUGUGGGUGAGAUUUGAAAAGAUUUUACAUAAAUCAUAUGAAGUUCCCAAAAAUCAACAAAAUCUCAAUAAAAUUCAAAUCUCUUAAAAUGCUACUUUGAAUACACUCCCCUUAGUUUUGACCAAAAUUUUGUCCAAGUGCCCAUAAUUUUUCUCUAUAUGACAAUUUUUAUAUAAAAAAAUAAGUGGGGUUCUUGCAUGCAUAUCCAAAUUUAUAAAAAUAAAGUGGCCACUGGUUUUUCAUGUCAUGUGUUGUGUUUGCGAAUAAUUAUUUCCACCUUACAUAUGACAUUGAUCUAAUUUUAGGCCAUUUUAUGGUCAUUCACAAAAUUCUGCGAAAAAAAGAUAACAACAAUAAAUUCAACCAAAUAUUAUCAUCCAUCUUUAUUUUGUACUUUCUAUUAAGAGUAUUAAAUAAAAAUUAGAAAUUCUAAAGAGAACGUAAAUAGGAACAAAAUCUUAAAGCAAAUGGGCCAAAACUGUACUGUGUAUAUGUUAUGCGUGCAAGUGUUAUAUAAACCAAACCACAAUUGUUGAACAAUAAAGUACCAAAAUCAAAACAUUUAACUAAAGAAAUGGCUUCUUCUUCCUCUUGUGUUGGCCUCCUUUCUCUUGUGAUUCUGAUACCAUUUCUUUUAGUCUCUGCUUCGGCCACAAAAUACAUCGACGUCAUAUGCGAACGUGCCGGUACUACCCACAAAGCCUUCUGCGUCAAAACUUUGAACGCAUACCCUUCUGCGGCUUCUGCCACCAGCAUGGUACGUACCAAUAAUACAUAUUUUCCAAAGCCAAAUAGAUAGAGUUUAUAUAACUUGUUACGUUCCAACGUCGGUUCUUGUUUCUUCUUGACCGAUUAUAUAUUUUCUUGUAAAAUUGUCAGUUAAAGUUUUGAAGUUAUAUUUUUAAUUUGAAUCUGUAUAUGUUAUUCGCAUUUAGCGUCUCAAAAAUUCUAAAGACUUGGCCGUUUUAGAUUUUUUAAAUACAAGUAUCUCCAUGUCUUAUUCUCAAUGAUCAUUAUUAUUUGGAUAUGUACGUAGUUCCAAGCGGCUGGGGCUACGCUCAACCUCGCCAUAUCUUAUGCCAAUAGGUAUGCGGGUUUUGCCGGAAAAGUGGCAAAGGAGAAUCCAAAAUUGAAGAGGGAUUUUGCGACGAUUCAGAAUGCC
RNAcentral lists this long non-coding RNA (2938 nucleotides) under Capsella rubella. Its description in RNAcentral is "long non-coding RNA (CRUB_LNC000983)". The record is from RNAcentral. Lineage: Eukaryota; Viridiplantae; Streptophyta; Magnoliopsida; Brassicales; Brassicaceae.